GCUUAAGGUUGAAGCGGCGUAAAACUCCGAACCGUGUCAGGAUGGAAACAUAGCAGCACUAAGGUGACCUUUGCGGGUGUUUUAAUCUUAAGAAGA
RNAcentral lists this signal recognition particle RNA (96 nucleotides) under bacterium. Its description in RNAcentral is "signal recognition particle sRNA small type". It matches the Rfam family "Bacterial small signal recognition particle RNA". Rfam says of the family: The signal recognition particle (SRP) is a universally conserved ribonucleoprotein involved in the co-translational targeting of proteins to membranes. Archaeal SRP consists of a 7S RNA and homologues of the eukaryotic SRP19 and SRP54 proteins. The record is from RNAcentral. RNAcentral also lists the same sequence under 1 other name.